This 253-nucleotide ribosomal RNA is filed under the name uncultured bacterium. RNAcentral describes it as "partial 16S ribosomal RNA". It matches the Rfam family "Bacterial small subunit ribosomal RNA", at positions 524 to 776 of the family's 1533-position model. The record is from RNAcentral.
UACGUAGGGCGCAAGCGUUGUCCGGAAUUAUUGGGCGUAAAGAGCUCGUAGGUGGCGUGUCGCGUCUGCCGUGAAAGCCUAUGGCUUAACUGUGGGUCUGCGGUGGAUACGGGCAGGCUGGAGGCUGGUAGGGGCAAGCGGAAUUCCUGGUGUAGCGGUGAGAUGCGCAGAUAUCGAGAGGAACACCAGUGGCGAAGGCGAGUCUCUGGACAUUUCCUGACGCUGAGGCACGAAAGCCAGGGGAGCAAACGGG